UCAAUUAAGCAAAUUAUAACAAGAUAGGAAUACAGACUCCAACAUAAGAUCAACUAUAUAUUUGAUUUAUCUAAAAUUCUAUUAUAAUUCUAUCGAGACUUCUAAUUCUUGUCAUGUUUGAAAAACGAUGAAAUAAAAUUCGGUCAAGUCCAUUUAGGCUACAAUAGAUAUCUGACAGAUCAUAUUUCUGAUUAUGUGAAAAGCCAAUAGCAUUUGGUGGAUUUAUCUAGACUAGUAUGAACCGAGUUAGAGAGGACUGGAUAUGACAGAAACCAUUGAAGUAUCAACAUGAUUCAGUAGGGAUAUAAUAUAUCGUGGUACAAUAUGAUUCGAAUGGUCCAAAGUUCGGUAGGAUUCAGCCAAAGUCGGAUAAGAAAAAUUAGUAAUCGUUAAAUUCAAAGAAAUUUACAUGUGUUAUGUGGGAACAUUUAAGAUUUAGAUGGAUCGUAGUAUAUAAACUUUUAGUUAUUAAUGUUUGAAUAGGAUUCAUGAAUUAUCGAUAUUAUAAGUCAAACUGUCAAUGAUACAUACCUUUGUAGAAUGGAAAUGAAGCAUAAAUUAUAUAUAUAUUUAAAUUAUA
Long non-coding RNA from Apis cerana (Asiatic honeybee), 580 nucleotides. RefSeq lists it as uncharacterized. NCBI's taxonomy places the organism in Eukaryota, Metazoa, Arthropoda, Insecta, Hymenoptera, Apidae. The record is from RefSeq and is a predicted model, not a curated record.